UACGUAGGGGGCAAGCGUUGUCCGGAAUCAUUGGGCGUAAAGCGCGUGUAGGCGGCUCGAUAAGUCUGCUGUGAAAGUCCAGGGCUCAACCCUGGGAUGCCGGUGGAUACUGUCGAGCUCGAGUCCGGAAGAGGCGAGUGGAAUUCCUGGUGUAGCGGUGAAAUGCGCAGAUAUCAGGAGGAACACCGAUGGCGAAGGCAGCUCGCUGGGACGUGACUGACGCUGAGGAGCGAAAGCGUGGGGAGCGAACAGG
Molecule: ribosomal RNA, 253 nt
Filed under: uncultured bacterium
Lineage: Bacteria
Description: partial 16S ribosomal RNA
Rfam family: Bacterial small subunit ribosomal RNA
Source: RNAcentral